AGUGAACGCUGGCGGUAGGCCUGACACAUGCAAGUCGAACGGCAGCACGGUAAGAGCUUGCUCUUACGGGUGGCGAGUGGCGGACGGGUGAGGAAUACAUCGGAAUCUACUUUUUCGUGGGGGAUAACGUAGGGAAACUUACGCUAAUACCGCAUACGACCUACGGGUGAAAGCAGGGGAUCUUCGGACCUUGCGCGAUUGAAUGAGCCGAUGUCGGAUUAGCUAGUUGGCGGGGUAAAGGCCCACCAAGGCGACGAUCCGUAGCUGGUCUGAGAGGAUGAUCAGCCACACUGGAACUGAGACACGGUCCAGACUCCUACGGGAGGCAGCAGUGGGGAAUAUUGGACAAUGGGCGCAAGCCUGAUCCAGCCAUACCGCGUGGGUGAAGAAGGCCUUCGGGUUGUAAAGCCCUUUUGUUGGGAAAGAAAAGCAGCAGGUUAAUACCCCGCUGUUCUGACGGUACCCAAAGAAUAAGCACCGGCUAACUUCGUG
RNAcentral lists this ribosomal RNA (492 nucleotides) under uncultured bacterium. RNAcentral describes it as "partial 16S ribosomal RNA". It matches the Rfam family "Bacterial small subunit ribosomal RNA", at positions 29 to 507 of the family's 1533-position model. The record is from RNAcentral.